Molecule: ribosomal RNA, 801 nt
Filed under: Microbacterium sp. CrF
Lineage: Bacteria; Bacillati; Actinomycetota; Actinomycetes; Micrococcales; Microbacteriaceae
Description: bacterial SSU rRNA
Rfam family: Bacterial small subunit ribosomal RNA
Source: RNAcentral
GGAUGGAACGCUGGCGGCGUGCUUAACACAUGCAAGUCGAACGAUGAAGCCCAGCUUGCUGGGUGGAUUAGUGGCGAACGGGUGAGUAACACGUGAGCAACCUGCCCCUGACUCUGGGAUAAGCGCUGGAAACGGCGUCUAAUACUGGAUAUGUCCCGUCACCGCAUGGUGUGCGGGUGGAAAGAUUUUUCGGUUGGGGAUGGGCUCGCGGCCUAUCAGCUUGUUGGUGAGGUAAUAGCUCACCAAGGCGUCGACGGGUAGCCGGCCUGAGAGGGUGACCGGCCACACUGGGACUGAGACACGGCCCAGACUCCUACGGGAGGCAGCAGUGGGGAAUAUUGCACAAUGGGCGGAAGCCUGAUGCAGCAACGCCGCGUGAGGGAUGACGGCCUUCGGGUUGUAAACCUCUUUUAGCAGGGAAGAAGCGAGAGUGACGGUACCUGCAGAAAAAGCACCGGCUAACUACGUGCCAGCAGCCGCGGUAAUACGUAGGGUGCAAGCGUUAUCCGGAAUUAUUGAGCGUAAAGAGCUCGUAGGCGGUCUGUCGCGUCUGCUGUGAAAUCCCGAGGCUCAACCUCGGGCUUGCAGUGGGUACGGGCAGACUAGAGUGCGGUAGGGGAGAUUGGAAUUCCUGGUGUAGCGGUGGAAUGCGCAGAUAUCAGGAGGAACACCGAUGGCGAAGGCAGAUCUCUGGGCCGUAACUGACGCUGAGGAGCGAAAGGGUGGGGAGCAAACAGGCUUAGAUACCCUGGUAGUCCACCCCGUAAACGUUGGGAACUAGUUGUGGGGUCCUUUCCACGG